Molecule: ribosomal RNA, 442 nt
Filed under: uncultured bacterium
Lineage: Bacteria
Description: partial 16S ribosomal RNA
Rfam family: Bacterial small subunit ribosomal RNA
Source: RNAcentral
CUACGGGGGGCUCCAGUCGGGAAUCUUACGCAAUGGACGAAAGUCUGACGUAGCAACGCCGCGUGGAUGAAGAAGGCCUUCGGGUUGUAAAAUCCUUUCAGCAGGGAAGAAAAAAAUGACGGUACCUGAAGAAGAAGCACCGGCUAACUCCGUGCCAGCAGCCGCGGUAAUACGGAGGGUGCAAGCGUUAUCCGGAUUUACUGGGCGUAAAGCGCGCGUAGGCGGCUUGGCAAGUCUGACGUGAAAUCCCUCGACUUAAUCGAGGAAGUGCAUUGGAUACUGCUAGGCUAGAGUAUGAGAGGGGAGAACGGAAUUCCUGGUGUAGAGGUGAAAUUCGUAGAUAUCAGGAGGAACAACAGUGGCGAAGGCGGUUCUCUGGAUCAUUACUGACGCUGAGGCGCGAAAGUGUGGGGAGCAAACAGGAUUAGAUACCCGAGUAGUC